GAAAUGCGAUAAGUAGUGUGAAUUGCAGAAUUCAGUGAAUCAUCGAAUCUUUGAACGCACAUUGCGCCCCUCGGUAUUCCGUGGGGCAUGCCUGUUCGAGCGUCAUUUACCCCCUCAAGCCCCGCUUGGUGUUGGGCGUCUGUCCCGCUUCGCGCGCGGACUCGCCCCAAAGGCAUUGGCAGCGGUCUUGCCAGCUUCUCGCGCAGCACAUUGCGCUUCUCGAGGCAUCGGCGAAGCCGCGUCCAUCAAGUCCACUCCACAGUUUGACCUCGGAUCAGGUAGGGAUACCCGCUGAGUUUAA
This 301-nucleotide unclassified non-coding RNA is filed under the name uncultured Pleosporales. RNAcentral describes it as "sequence contains ITS1". The stretch from base 1 to 105 matches the Rfam family "5.8S ribosomal RNA", at positions 50 to 154 of the family's 154-position model. The record is from RNAcentral. Lineage: Eukaryota; Fungi; Ascomycota; Dothideomycetes; Pleosporales.